AGGGUCACAUCGUGCUUUGUAUACUAGGACAGCAUAGUGAUCAGUUGGUGGAUGUGAAAUCGUUUGCAGAUGACUUGAAUAAAUUAAUAGAAAGAAACUAUCUUCAGUCAUAUGUUCCAUGGACUAUAUAGCCAAAAGAAGUGCAGAUGUAGCUUUCUCUGAUUGAGUAUUUUAUCCAAAUAUACGUAGUAGUAGUGCUAAACGUUUUCAAAAUAUGAGUGGUUUUCAUGCAUUAUUGUGAUGAUAGCUAAUUCUUCUUUUGGUGUUUGCUCGUGGAAGUUGACCAUCAAGUGCUUCUUGUAGCUAAUUCAUUGGUUAUCUUGUUUUGCAGCUAUUUGCUGGUAAUGAAGCAGAUGAAUUUCGUUCAAUUCUAAAACAAGAACGGAUGCCAAAGAUAUUGAUCACGACGUGCCGUUUCAAUUCUACUAGAGUACCAGCAUUUAUAUCAGAGCUUCUUGCGGUGGUUCCAAAUGCACAUUAUUACAAGAGAGGAACCUAUGACUUAAAGAAGAUUGUAGGAUAUGCAAACAACAAGGAUUUCUCAGCUGUUAUAGUAGUCCACACUAACCGCACGGAACCGGAUGCUCUCCUUGUCAUUGGCUUGCCUAAUGGACCUACUGUCCAUUUUAAGCUCUCAAAUCUCGUAUUACGCAAGGAUAUUAAGAAUCAUGGAAAUCCUACUGGUCAUAAGCCUGAGCUGGUGAUGAACAACUUUACAACUCGCUUGGGUCAUCGACUAGGAAGGUACAUCUUUGAAACCAAAGAAACAAAACAGAGUGACUCAAAAGGUACAGCUAAAAAGGCAAAGGAUGCCAAGGGUGAGAACGUCACUGACCAGAGAACUAUUGCCCGUCUUCAGGAGUGUGGUCCUCGCUUCACGCUUAAGCUGAUCAGUCUGAUCAGUCUACAACAUGGAACAUUUGAUACCAAAGGGGGUGAAUAUGAAUUGGUACACAAGCCGGAAAUGGACACUAGCCGGAGGAGGUUUUUCUUAUGAGUUGUUCUGGAUUCAUCUGUCAGAGUUCCGUUUCCUAGCCUAGAAGCAAUUUCGGUGAAGUGGCUUGUUAGCCGGAACUGCAAUAGAUGUAAUGACAGGGUGACGUUUUUAAUCUCCUUGAUUGAAGAUUCAAAUAUUGAUCGAUAUCCAGGUGGCCUAGCUCUGGUUGGAGACAAUAACUCCUCAAUCGAAGAGGUUAAAGCAUAUAUUUGAAUUGGGUGAUUCCCAAAUUCGAAUCCUCUUCCUCGAUUACUUACCAAAAGAAGC
RNA transcript from Tripterygium wilfordii, 1264 nucleotides. It is a transcript of the gene named ribosome production factor 1-like, with no coding region annotated. NCBI's taxonomy places the organism in Eukaryota, Viridiplantae, Streptophyta, Magnoliopsida, Celastrales, Celastraceae. The record is from RefSeq and is a predicted model, not a curated record. The transcript is spliced from 9 exons.